GUUUUAAAUCGAAAGAAUUAUUUCGUGAACACAUUUCCUUUAAAUUUUUCUUCAUGGCGUCCCAUAUAUAUUUGGCAAUGUUCUUCCUGAGAAUGGUGUCAAGAACGGUCCAAUAGAUUGCCUCGAAGAGAUAGUUAUUCACUUUCAGGUCCUUCAGCUUCAUCUUAUCAUUCUUCUUUCGUUAUGCAUCUGUCUGCAACGAUUCACUUGCUGGUUCAAUAAAGCUAGGCUCCACCAGCCCCCAAAAUUCCUUAGAUCGCAAAAAAAUUUCCAUCAGCAUGCUCCUAUGGUCAUAGUGACCAUCAAAGCAAGGAAUGGCUGGUUGCAUAAAACUUCCUUUUGUAGUCAUCUUCUGUGCUGCUGCAAGAAUUUUAAAGACUGCUGCUUUGAUUUGUCAAGCCCAGUGGAGGCUCUGAUACCAAAUUGAUGGAAAAUUUGAUCUAAAAUGAAAUUAAGAAUAAGAACACAACAAGCUAAAUUGAAUGACUUAGUUUUAUUAACAAUAACUUUGGCUUAAAUAGCCAUUCAAUACAAAAUCUUUAUAGAAACGAGAAAACAGCCCACUUAGCGGAAAUAAAGCAAGUGGUAACAGAAACUUGGAACAAUUCAAAUAAAAGUAGAUGUCCCUAAAGACUAGGACUUUUCCUGUAGACCAGAAUAUUAUUCUAACAAAAAACUACCAUAAACUCCUUCAGAUUUUUGGGAUCUUUAGUAUUUAUACUCCAGCGUCUUCUUUAGUAGUUGGUAGUGAUUUUUAGUUUCUGUUUACUGUUUAGGAAUUUAUAUUAUUAACCUUGGGAGGCUGCCGGGGUUAUUGUUGCUAUUGAGAAUCCUCAAGACAUCAUCGUUCAAUUUGUCAGACCAUAUGGUUAGAGAGCUGUCUAAAGUUUGGACAGUACACUGGUGCUCGUGCAAUUGCUGGUCCUCAUACUUCUGGAACAUAGUUUCAGACAUCAUUCAGUGAGCCACACAUUUUGAUCCUUACUGACCAAAGAACUAAUCAUCAACCUAUUUAAGAAGCCGCGGUUUCUAGCAUCCCCACCAUUGCUUUCUCUGACACCGAUUCACAAAUGAGGUAUGUUGAUAUUGGCAUCCCUACCAACAACAAAGGGAAACACAACAUCAGUUGUCUUUUCUGGCUCUUUGUAAGAUGGUUCUGUAAAUGCAUGGCAUCAUUGCUCCUGGUCACAAGUGGGAUGUGAUGGAUUAGAAUUUGCAUACUUGGAAGCAAGUGAAGAUUAUACUUCUUAACAAAAUAUGUGUAACGACCCGGACCUCUCGCCCAAGCCGUUAACUUACAACGUCCGCCAAGGCCCACUUACUCCUCAUGACUUUCUGUCGCGUCCCCCAGGAUUCGAACCCAUAACCUUCCCCUUAAGUAAGAUAUUAUACUCUUUUUAUAGCUCGUGUUAAGCAAUAUAAUUUGGAAUCAAGAAAAAAUAAUUUCGAGCUAGUAUGCCAGAGUUAUUCUAACAUUUUUUUUUUGACCUGACAGUCCAUCCUGAAGGAUUUAACUUCUUUGCAUUCAACCCGAAUGCCUUAUAGUAUCUCAUGCUAGAAUUUACAUACAUAUCAAGAAAUAAAAAUUUACCACUUGCACCAUGUAUUCUUACCUCCAAAGAAAUUUUUGAAAUUUGGCUUUGUAAAUAAAAUGAUACUCCUUUUUCAGAAUACGUGUGUCAAUGUGUGUAAAUGUGAGAGUGAUAGUUUCUGUGCGGUAAAGAAGAAUUUUUUUCUUUCAUAUGAUAUAUAAAGGUAACCACUUGUAUUUUUAUCUAUCACUCAAAACGACAAAACGUAUAUCAAAACGUACAAAUUUUCAGUUGAAUAUUCAAUAGAUGAUUAAUAUAUUAUUUAUUUCCAUUGGUCACGUCUUAUCAUGUCUGAAUUCUGACGGUUGAUUGCCAAUUAUUAAUGGAGUGAGCUUAAUGAAUGGUUAACAUAUAUUAAAUUACAAUUCAUUUCAAAUUCCUAAAAAACACGUAUUGG
Molecule: RNA transcript, 1989 nt
Organism: Olea europaea var. sylvestris
Lineage: Eukaryota; Viridiplantae; Streptophyta; Magnoliopsida; Lamiales; Oleaceae
Gene name: 40S ribosomal protein SA-like
Exons: 3
Source: RefSeq, a predicted model, not a curated record